UACGCAAAAGGAAAUGGUGUCUUCCUGUAAUAAACCGCUUUAAAGAAGCUGAUGGCGCCUGCAGACCG
Molecule: non-coding RNA, 68 nt
Filed under: Bacteroidota bacterium
Lineage: Bacteria; Pseudomonadati; Bacteroidota
Description: Bacteroidetes bacterium Fluoride sequence
Rfam family: Fluoride riboswitch aptamer (crcB RNA motif)
Source: RNAcentral